RNAcentral lists this ribosomal RNA (460 nucleotides) under uncultured bacterium. RNAcentral's name for it is "partial 16S ribosomal RNA". It matches the Rfam family "Bacterial small subunit ribosomal RNA", at positions 338 to 795 of the family's 1533-position model. The record is from RNAcentral.
CCUACGGGUGACAGCAGUGAGGAAUAUUGGUCAAUGGACGAGAGUCUGAACCAGCCAAGUAGCGUGAAGGAUGACUGCCCUAUGGGUUGUAAACUUCUUUUAUAUGGGAAUAAAAUGUUCCACGUGUGGGAUUUUGUAUGUACCAUAUGAAUAAGGAUCGGCUAACUCCGUGCCAGCAGCCGCGGUAAUACGGAGGAUCCGAGCGUUAUCCGGAUUUAUUGGGUUUAAAGGGAGCGUAGGUGGGUUGUUAAGUCAGUUGUGAAAGUUUGCGGCUCAACCGUAAAAUUGCAGUUGAAACUGGCAGUCUUGAGUACAGUAGAGGUGGGCGGAAUUCGUGGUGUAGCGGUGAAAUGCUUAGAUAUCACGAAGAACUCCGAUUGCGAAGGCAGCUCACUGGACUGCAACUGACGUUGAGGCACGAAAGCGUGGGGAGCAAACAGGAUUAGAUACCCCAGUAGUC